UAUUAAAUUUGAAUCCAGAUAAACAAUUCUAUCAAAUAUUUAGUUAGGAUAGAGAGAGAUUUGUUCUAACCCUGUAAGAUAUUGCAUGGAUUAGAACAUGUGAGAGAUGCUGCAGUUCACAUGUUUUACUCAUCUCCCAGUUUGCUUCCUGCACCCCUUGACAAAAUUAUUCCUAUCUCUCACGCGCUUCUUAUUACCUCAAGUGGCGCACCUCCUUCCCUAACCCUAGCUAGCACCCCCUGACCUCACUCCUUCACUGCUACGGUGCGCCACCGUCACUUCUUCACCUUAGUCGUGCGGCGCGCCAACCUGACUCCCUAAGGCUUGCGACACAUCAGGUGGUUGAAGGCACCGCCAUUCCCUUGCGCAACAAACCUGUUUGAAGCCACCCCGACACCGACGAAGAUGCAAUAAUUUGUCAUUGUCAUGUGGGAGCAAAGAAGUUGUCGAGGAGAGAAGAGAAGGACGUGAAAGUUUAGAUUCUCAAGACAAUUCUGCGGUUUGGGAGCAGAGAAAUAACAAGAGUUUCUAAAUUUUCUACGGGUUACACUGUACACUAAAUCAACGUUCAAAUGGUGAGAAAGUAAUGAAAGAAAAAAAAAAGAGUUGACAUGUGGAAAAAAAUCAAAUUCAGGAAA
This is a long non-coding RNA of Glycine soja, 638 nucleotides long. RefSeq lists it as uncharacterized. Lineage: Eukaryota; Viridiplantae; Streptophyta; Magnoliopsida; Fabales; Fabaceae. The transcript is spliced from 2 exons. The record is from RefSeq and is a predicted model, not a curated record.